AGGGCACCACCAGGAGUGGAGCCUGCGGCUUAAUUUGACUCAACACGGGAAAUCUCACCAGGCCCGGACACUGGAAGGAUUGACAGAUUGAGAGCUCUUUCUCGAUUCGGUGGGUGGUGGUGCAUGGCCGUUCUUAGUUGGUGGAGUGAUUUGUCUGGUUAAUUCCGAUAACGAACGAGACUCUGUCCUGCUAAAUAGAGACAGGAUUAUUACUGUCCUGGAUUCUUCUUAGAGGGACAAGUGGUUUUCAGCCACACGAAAUUGAGCAAUAACAGGUCUGUGAUGCCCUUAGAUGUCCGGGGCUGCACGCGCGCUACACUGAAGGAAUCAGCGUGCUAAAACCAUUGUCGAAAGGCAUUGGUAAACCCAUCAAAAUCCUACGUGAUUGGGAUCGGGAAUUGCAAUUAUUUCCCUUGAACGAGGAAUUCCCAGUAAGUGUGGGUCAUAAGCUCGCGUUGAUUACGUCCCUGCCCUUUGUACACACCGCCCGUCGCUGCCCGGGACUGAGCCGUUUCGAGA
This 519-nucleotide ribosomal RNA is filed under the name uncultured eukaryote. RNAcentral's name for it is "SSU rRNA". It matches the Rfam family "Eukaryotic small subunit ribosomal RNA", at positions 1161 to 1704 of the family's 1831-position model. The record is from RNAcentral.